CGGCCAUUUUGUCUAGUUGAACGCACUCAGCGGUGUUUGGUCUAAUGGAACAAAUUUUGUCUACCUUUUCAACGAACACCACUGAAACUUCUACCUUCCGUGUGUUCGACUAGAAUCAUACAAACAGAGUGCUAUUUUGGGAGCAUAAUCAUACGAACAGGAUGUAUUAAUUGAUAGUAGACACGAACGGUUCCGAUAGUGAAG
Pelobates cultripes (western spadefoot toad) is the source of this 204-nucleotide non-coding RNA. The record is from the annotation of a GenBank genome assembly. Lineage: Eukaryota; Metazoa; Chordata; Amphibia; Anura; Pelobatidae.